AACGCACGAGACCUGCGGACCUGCGGAGGGAUCAUUACCGAGUUUACAACUCCCAAACCCAAUGUGAACGUUACCAAACUGUUGCCUCGGCGGGGUCACGCCCCGGGUGCGUCGCAGCCCCGGAACCAGGCGCCCGCCGGAGGAACCAACCAAACUCUUUCUGUAGUCCCCUCGCGGACGUUAUUUCUUACAGCUCUGAGCAAAAAUUCAAAAUGAAUCAAAACUUUUAGCAACGGAUCU
RNAcentral lists this unclassified non-coding RNA (240 nucleotides) under soil metagenome. Its description in RNAcentral is "partial contains 5.8S ribosomal RNA, internal transcribed spacer 2, and large subunit ribosomal RNA". The record is from RNAcentral.